RNAcentral lists this ribosomal RNA (272 nucleotides) under uncultured Hyphomicrobiales bacterium. Its description in RNAcentral is "uncultured Rhizobiales bacterium partial 16S ribosomal RNA". It matches the Rfam family "Bacterial small subunit ribosomal RNA", at positions 514 to 792 of the family's 1533-position model. Lineage: Bacteria; Pseudomonadati; Pseudomonadota; Alphaproteobacteria; Hyphomicrobiales. The record is from RNAcentral.
GCCGCGGUAUACGAAGGGGCUACGUUGCUCGGAAUCACUGGGCGUAAGGGCGCGUAGCGGCUUGCCAAGUCGGGGGUGAAAGCCCGUGGCUCAACCACGGAAUGGCCUUCGAUACUGGCAGGCUUGAGACCGGAAGAGGACAGCGGAACUGCGAGUGUAGAGGUGAAAUUCGUAAUAUUCGCAAGAACACCAGUGGCGAAGGCGGCUGUCUGGUCCGGUUCUGACGCUGAGGCGCGAAAGCGUGGGGAGCAAACAGGAUUAAUACCCUGGUA